CCUACGGGAGGCAGCAGUAGGGAAUCUUCCACAAUGGGCGAAAGCCUGAUGGAGCAACGCCGCGUGGGUGAAGGAGGUCUUCGGAUCGUAAAACCCUGUUGUUAGAGAAGAAAGUGCGUGAGAGUAACUGUUCACGUUUCGACGGUAUCUAACCAGAAAGCCACGGCUAACUACGUGCCAGCAGCCGCGGUAAUCCGUAGGUGGCAAGCGUUAUCCGGAUUUAUUGGGCGUAAAGGGAACGCAGGCGGUCUUUUAAGUCUGAUGUGAAAGCCUUCGGCUUAACCGGAGUAGUGCAUUGGAAACUGGGAGACGUGAGUGCAGAAGAGGAGAGUGGAACUACAGGUGUAGCGGUGAAAUGCGUAGAUAUAUGGAAGAACACCAGUGGCGAAAGCGGCUCUCUGGUCUGUAACUGACGCUGAGGUUCGAAAGCGUGGGUAGCAAACAGGAUUAGAUACCCUUGUAGUC
Molecule: ribosomal RNA, 465 nt
Filed under: uncultured bacterium
Lineage: Bacteria
Description: partial 16S ribosomal RNA
Rfam family: Bacterial small subunit ribosomal RNA
Source: RNAcentral